Molecule: unclassified non-coding RNA, 343 nt
Filed under: soil metagenome
Description: partial contains 5.8S ribosomal RNA, internal transcribed spacer 2, and large subunit ribosomal RNA
Rfam family: 5.8S ribosomal RNA (bases 1-120)
Source: RNAcentral
GAUGAAGAACGCAGCGAAAUGCGAUAAGUAAUGUGAAUUGAAGAAUUCAGUGAAUCAUCGAAUCUUUGAACGCACAUUGCGCCCGCCAGCAUUCUGGCGGGCAUGCCUGUUCGAGCGUCAUUUCAACCCUCGAGCCCCCCCGGGGGCCUCGGUGUUGGGGGACGGCACACCAGCCGCCCCCGAAAUGCAGUGGCGACCCCGCCGCAGCCUCCCCUGCGUAGUAGCACACACCUCGCACCGGAGCGCGGAGGCGGUCACGCCGUAAAACGCCCAACUUUCUUAGAGUUGACCUCGGAUCAGGUAGGAAUACCCGCUGAACUUAAGCAUAUCAAUAAGCGGAGGA